ACGGGCAGCAGCACGGCCCGGAUCCCCGGGUUCGCGGCCCGGGCGGCGGUCACGAACGCCCGCACGUUCUCCUCGGUCUGCCCGCU
Molecule: transfer RNA, 86 nt
Filed under: Streptomyces hydrogenans
Lineage: Bacteria; Bacillati; Actinomycetota; Actinomycetes; Kitasatosporales; Streptomycetaceae
Description: tRNA-Ala
Source: RNAcentral